GAUCUGGCCCUCUUGCUCUGGGCUCCCUUUUGUCUGACUGUAGACUCUGGGCACCCUGGCCGCUUGCAGGGGUGAGCACAGCUGUCAUCUGCUCCUGAAGGCGCAGAUGCCCUGACUGUGUGGAUCCUGUCUGUGUGGCCCCUGGCACGCUGUGACCUCCUGCAGCACCGCACUUGCAGUGCUGGCUUUGAUAAUGGAGUUACUUUUAGGCUGAUCUGCCUCUAGCAAAAUGCCUGACACCGAGUAGGUGCCUGGAUGGAAAAAUAGAAGCAGAAGAUUUCACAAGCAGGUUAUACCGAGAACUUAAUUCUUCACCUCAACCUUACCUUGUGCCUUUCCUGAAGAGGAGCUUACCCGCCUUGAGACAGCUGACCCCCGACUCCGCGGCCUUCAUCCAGCAGAGCCAGCAGCAGCCGCCACCGCCCGCCUCGCAGGCCACCACUGCGCUCACGGCCGUGGUGCUGAGUAGCUCGGUCCAGCGCACGGCCGGGAAGACGGCGGCCACCGUGACCAGUGCCCUCCAGCCCCCUGUGCUCAGCCUCACGCAGCCCACGCAGGUCGGCGUCGGCAAGCAGGGGCAACCCACACCGCUGGUGAUCCAGCAGCCUCCGAAGCCAGGAGCCCUGAUCCGGCCCCCGCAGGUGACGUUGACGCAGACACCCAUGGUCGCCCUGCGGCAGCCUCACAACCGGAUCAUGCUCACCACGCCUCAGCAGAUCCAGCUGAACCCACUGCAGCCAGUCCCUGUGGUGAAACCCGCCGUGUUACCUGGAACCAAAGCCCUUUCCGCUGUCUCGGCACAAGCAGCUGCUGCACAGAAAAAUAAACUCAAGGAGCCUGGGGGAGGUUCGUUUCGGGACGAUGAUGACAUUAAUGAUGUUGCAUCGAUGGCUGGAGUAAACUUGUCAGAAGAAAGUGCAAGAAUAUUAGCCACCAACUCUGAAUUGGUGGGCACGCUAACGCGGUCCUGUAAAGAUGAAACCUUCCUCCUCCAAGCGCCUUUGCAGAGAAGAAUAUUAGAAAUAGGUAAAAAACACGGUAUAACGGAAUUACAUCCAGAUGUAGUAAGUUAUGUAUCACAUGCCACGCAACAAAGGCUACAGAAUCUUGUAGAGAAAAUAUCAGAAACAGCUCAGCAGAAGAACUUUUCUUACAAGGAUGACGACAGAUAUGAGCAGGCGAGUGACGUCCGGGCACAGCUCAAGUUUUUUGAACAGCUUGAUCAAAUCGAAAAGCAGAGGAAGGAUGAGCAGGAGCGGGAGAUCCUGAUGAGGGCAGCAAAGUCUCGGUCAAGACAAGAAGAUCCAGAACAGUUAAGGCUGAAACAGAAGGCAAAGGAGAUGCAGCAACAGGAACUGGCACAAAUGAGACAGCGGGACGCCAACCUCACAGCACUAGCAGCGAUCGGGCCCAGGAAAAAGAGGAAAGUGGACUGUCCGGGGCCGGGCUCGGGAGCAGAGGGGUCGGGCCCCGGCUCAGUGGUCCCAGGCAGCUCGGGUGUCGGAACCCCCAGACAGUUCACGCGACAAAGAAUCACGCGGGUCAACCUCAGGGACCUCAUAUUUUGUUUAGAAAAUGAACGUGAGACAAGCCAUUCACUGCUGCUCUACAAAGCAUUCCUUAAGUGACACAGGAGGACGCCUGGGGACUUUUUAUAUAUUUGCAGAUUACGCCUUUUUGUAACAAGCAAAUGGGAUAUUGUUUAAAAAACAGCCACCUCUUUACAAUGGAACAGUUUUAUAUUCCUGUUUCUAAAUCAGCUCUUCAGUGUGAAAGAAAACACGUUUCUGUAACAGAGAGAACACAAAGGCCUGUGGAUACUCUUAAAGGACAACUAAAUCUUAACUCAUCUUGAUUGAGUGGCCUUCUUGCCAAACAAGCCAUAUAUAAAGACUGAUGGAAUCGUUAGCAAAUAAUUAGCUGCCCUCUGUCAACUCAUAGCAGUUUCUGCAUUAUUUGUGCAUUUUGGUUUAGUUCUACCUAACUUACUAUGUAGGUGUAUGUCUACAGCCGAUGACCUCAUUUCGUUUAUUUUAUUUUUGUAAUAGUCAGUUGGCAAAGCAAACUGAUUUUUUAGACUAUUUAUCUUCCUUCCCUUCCCCUCCCACCCCGCUCUCCUCUCUGCCCCCUGCCCUCCCCUCCUCUCCCUUCCCCUCCACUCCGCUGAGAAUCCUGGAGGAAUACACAAUUCAUCGUUGCACCCCCACCUCAGAGUGUAAUUGCAUUUCUGCUUGGUAGAGGCCGAGCCCAGCAAAGGUGGCUCCUUCUGAAUGUGUGGUCAGCAUCUGUACAAAUGCAUUUUAUUUGCUAUAGUUUGUAAAGCUGUAAAGUUAAAAGAGAUGAAAACCUUUUCAGCAUAAAUAUAUUUUACUUGCACUGUGUUUUUUAGCUAAAAGUGAAAACCUAGAUUAAAUAAAAUCAAAGUUGAGAAGAAUCAUC
This 2439-nucleotide small RNA is filed under the name Pan troglodytes (chimpanzee). RNAcentral describes it as "retained intron". Lineage: Eukaryota; Metazoa; Chordata; Mammalia; Primates; Hominidae. The record is from RNAcentral.